Molecule: long non-coding RNA, 1129 nt
Filed under: Cyanistes caeruleus (blue tit)
Lineage: Eukaryota; Metazoa; Chordata; Aves; Passeriformes; Paridae
Description: lncRNA (ENSCCEG00000001402.1)
Source: RNAcentral
ACUGGGAGGGACUGGGAGGGGACUGGGAGGGACUGGGAUGGACUGGGAGGGGAUUUGGAAGGGACUGGGAGCACUGGGAGCAGUACUGGGGCCAUACUGGGAUCACUGGGAGGGGCACUGGGAUCACCGGGCCCAUACUGGGAGCACUGGGAGGGCUCUGGGGCCUUACUGGGAACACUGGGAGGGUCCUGGGGGAGCACUGGGUCCUUACCAGUCCAUACUGGGAGCACUGGGAGCGGCACUGGAUCCGUACUGGGAGCACUGGGCCCUUACUGGGAGCGCUGGGCCCAUUCCCCUCACGCCGUUCCCGCCUUUUUUCCUCCUUCCCGCCCUUUUUCUGGCCCCGCCCCCCCUCUGUUGAUUGACACGCGGGGGGCGGAGCCUCUGUGAGGGCACGGGAAAAGCACCGGGAGGGCUCUGGGGCCUUACUGGGAGCACUGGGGAGCACAGAGCUCAAACUGGGAGCACCAGUCCCAUACUGGGAGCACUGGGAGGAUCUCUGGUCCCAAACUGGGAUUUCUGGUUUCAUACUGGGAUCACUGGUCCUGAACUGGUCCCAAACUGGGAUCACUGGUCCCGUACUGGGAUCACCGGUCCCGUACUGGGAUCACCGGUCCCGUACUGGGAUCACUGGUCCCAAACUGGGAUCACUGGUCCCAAACUGGGAUCACUGGUCCCAUACUGGGAUCACUGGUCCCAAACUGGGAUCACUGGUCCCGUACUGGGAUCACCAGUCCCAUACUGGGAUCACCGGUCCCGUACUGGGAUCACCAGUCCUGUACUGGAAUCACUGGUCCCGUACUGGUCCCACAGCUGUGUCCCCUCCCCCGCAGGUGAGCGACGCGCUGGGGGGAGGGGCGGCGGCCGUCUCGUACCAGCGGGGGGCGGGGGCUCUGCUGAGGGCGCUGCUGCUCCUCCCCUUCGCCGCCGCCCUGGGCGGGGCCGCGUUCCUCGCCGCCGGAAACGCCCUGCCCGGGGACCGGCGCCGCGCCCGCCGCGAGGCUCAGGGGCUGCCCCCGGACGGCGACGACGACGACGACCCCGCGGCCAUCGUGGUCCCGCCCGCGGCCGGAGGCCGGACACGGAAAGUGCCGGUGGCUCACGUGCUGGCCUGAGAGUGACCAACUGA